This 497-nucleotide ribosomal RNA is filed under the name uncultured bacterium. Its description in RNAcentral is "partial 16S ribosomal RNA". It matches the Rfam family "Bacterial small subunit ribosomal RNA", at positions 28 to 507 of the family's 1533-position model. The record is from RNAcentral.
GAGGAACGCUGGCGGCGUGCCUAAUACAUGCAAGUUGAGCGCUGAAGGUUGGUACUUGUACCAACUGGAUGAGCAGCGAACGGGUGAGUAACGCGUGGGGAAUCUGCCUUUGAGCGGGGGACAACAUUUGGAAACGAAUGCUAAUACCGCAUAAAAACUUUAAACACAAGUUUUAAGUUUGAAAGAUGCAAUUGCAUCACUCAAAGAUGAUCCCGCGUUGUAUUAGCUAGUUGGUGAGGUAAAGGCUCACCAAGGCGAUGAUACAUAGCCGACCGGAGAGGGUGAUCGGCCACAAUGGGACUGAGACGAGGCCCAAACUCCUACGGGAGGCAGCAGUAGGGAAUCGUCGGCAAUGGACGAAAGUCUGACCGAGCAAAGCCGCGUGAGUGAAGAAGGUUUUCGGAUCGGAAAACUCUGUUGGUAGAGAAGAACGUUGGUGAGAGUGGAAAGCUCAUCAAGUGACGGUAACUACCCAGAAAGGGACGGCUAACUACGUG